Molecule: ribosomal RNA, 424 nt
Filed under: uncultured bacterium
Lineage: Bacteria
Description: partial 16S ribosomal RNA
Rfam family: Bacterial small subunit ribosomal RNA
Source: RNAcentral
UGGGGAAUUUUGGACAAUGGGCGCAAGCCUGAUCCAGCAAUGCCGCGUGCAGGAUGAAGGCCUUCGGGUUGUAAACUGCUUUUGUACGGAACGAAAAGGCUCUGGUUAAUACCUGGAGCAUAUGACGGUACCGUAAGAAUAAGCACCGGCUAACUACGUGCCAGCAGCCGCGGUAAUACGUGGGGUGCGAGCGUUAAUCGGAAUUACUGGGCGUAAAGCGUGCGCAGGCGGUUUUGUAAGACAGAGGUGAAAUCCCCGGGCUCAACCUGGGAACUGCCUUUGUGACUGCAAGGCUGGAGUGCGGCAGAGGGGGGAUGGAAUUCCGCGUGUAGCAGUGAAAUGCGUAGAUAUGCGGAGGAACACCGAUGGCGAAGGCAAUCCCCUGGGCCUGCAACCUGGACGCUCAUGCACGAAAGCGUGGGGA